CGUCUAUAUACGUAUAGCAUAUCAAUAAGCGGAGGAAAAGAAACUAACUAGGAUUCCCUCAGUAACGGCGAGUGAAGCGGGAAGAGCUCAAAUUUGAAAUCUUCAAGGUUCUACCUUGACGAAUUGUAGUUUAAAGAAGUGUUUUCUGUUGGAGUUUUGGUAAAAGUUCUUUGGAAUAGGACAUCAUAGAGGGUGAGAAUCCCGUAUUUGACCAUUAUUUCCAACUUUGUGAUACACUUUCAAAGAGUCGGAUUGUUUGGGAAUGCAGUCCAAAAUGGGUGGUAAAUUUCAUCUAAGAGCUAAAUACUGGCGAGAGACCGAUAGCGAACAAGUACCGUGAGGGAAAGAUGAAAAGAACUUUGAAAAGAGAGUUAAACAGUACGUGAAAUUGUCAAAAGGGAAGCGUUUGACACCAGUGUUGUUUUCUCGAAAAUCAAUUAAAAAUGGUGGGAUUUUGUGUUGUAUUGACCUUAUCAGCUUUCUGCACUUUUUUCCUGUCUUUUUUAAUGCACUUUUCGUUUAACAAGUCAACAUCAAUUUCUUUUGUUGUAAAAGAGUCAUUGGAAGGUGGCUUUCUUUUCGGAGAAAGUGUUUAUAGCCUUUGACUUCUGCAAUCGGAGAGAUUGAGGUCUGCAGCGUAGAUCCUUCGGGGUUAGAUGCAUUUGUGCUAAGCUAUAGCCUUUCAUAGACAACUUGUUGACUAUGAUCAGUCAUGUAGCUUACUCGCUUAUGUCAUUUUACCUACGCUUAGGAUGUUGACGAUCAGCUGAGCGCG
This 775-nucleotide ribosomal RNA is filed under the name uncultured Neocallimastigales. RNAcentral describes it as "partial large subunit ribosomal RNA". It matches the Rfam family "Eukaryotic large subunit ribosomal RNA", at positions 26 to 628 of the family's 3401-position model. The record is from RNAcentral. Lineage: Eukaryota; Fungi; Neocallimastigomycota; Neocallimastigomycetes; Neocallimastigales.